CGGAACACGUACGCAACCUUCCCGAAACAGGUGAAUAGCCCUCCGAAAGAGGAUUAAUACACCGUAAGAUAUAGAUGUGGCAUCAUGUUUAUAUUAAAGGCCGCAAGGUCGGUUUUGGAUGGGCGUGCGCCUGAUUAGGUAGUUGGUGUGGGUAACGGCCCACCAAGCCUUCGAUCAGUAACUGGUGUGAGAGCACGACCAGUCACACGGGCACUGAGACACGGGCCCG
This 229-nucleotide ribosomal RNA is filed under the name uncultured bacterium. RNAcentral's name for it is "partial 16S ribosomal RNA". It matches the Rfam family "Bacterial small subunit ribosomal RNA", at positions 109 to 334 of the family's 1533-position model. The record is from RNAcentral.